Mobula hypostoma (lesser devil ray) is the source of this 3050-nucleotide long non-coding RNA. RefSeq lists it as uncharacterized. NCBI's taxonomy places the organism in Eukaryota, Metazoa, Chordata, Chondrichthyes, Myliobatiformes, Myliobatidae. The transcript has 3 exons. The record is from RefSeq and is a predicted model, not a curated record.
GAUCAAAACAUCCAGAGAAAUCCAAAAACCAGAGUCAGGCAGAGUCAAUAUUCAAACAACAGGAAUUCUGCAGAUGCUGGAAAUUCAAGCAACACACAUAAAAGUUGCUGGUGAACGCAGCAGGCCAGGCAGCAUCUCUAGGAAGAGGUGCAGUCGACGUUUCAGGCCGAGACCCUUCGUCAGGACUAACUGAAGGAAGAGAAACUAACUCCUACACAAUGGAACUCCUCUGCAGUUGUACUUGGAAUUCUGAUUACAUCCAUUCCUUUUUUGGUGAUUUUAUUCCGAGUCAAAAAAUUAUGCGUUCCAGUGCCAAUCCAGGAUUCAAGUGUUGAGAAUGAGAAUGAACCAUUAAACCAUGAUGGAAAAGAUCUCAUGACACUAUUUCAAAGAUAAAUAAAAUUAUCCCUGGUAGCCUGGCCAAUACUUGUCUCUCAGUCAACAUCUGCAAAAAUACUGAUUACCCAGUCAAUAUUGGAUUGCCCUUUUGGAGUGUUUACUGGACUAAAUUUGGCUGCUGUUGCAAUUUCUGCAUUGCAACAGUAACUAUGCUUCAGGAAGUAUUUUUAGGCAGUUCCAGAGAUGGGAACCAGCUGAGGUUGUUCCACAGAAAUCAGAAGUACUUGCAUCUGCUGAAAGCACAAAGCUAAAAGAAAAACAUAAAAAUAUUAGCAAAAUAGAAGAUUCAGCUACGAUCAAAGGUUCUGCCUGGGUAUGUUGGCCUGGUGGGGAACUGAAAGGCCAAAUGCAGAGGAGACCGAUGUUUGAAAGAAAAUGUGUCCAUCCUACUUCGAUUACUUGUUACUUUAUGGGGCAAAAACAAUAUUCCAAAAUAUUGCAAGAUUCGCCACAUGGAUUAAACCGAACACAACCAUUAAAGCACAAGAGCAGGAAUGACUCAAGGGCUGAAUUAAAUAUUUAUGAUUUGGAAGCGGAGCUAGAUGAUGCCCACAGGCCCCAGGAGAACACACACAACCGUUUACAGUCCAAUACCAAUCAGAAUCCUGCUCUGGUUAAUGAUGCUGAGGAAGACAGAGAGAAAACAAAGAUAUUUGUAUUCAGUGCAAGCGAGCCAAAAGAAUCUGAUGUUAAUGUUUUGCCCAUGGCUAAACAUCUGAACGUUCAGCGAAAACACUUCAUUUCCAGUUCACAGUAUAGGUUACCACUUUGUAAGUAUAGUGUUUGCCAAUUUAAAAAGCUGGAGUAGACAGUUGAGGGGAAAUUUAAUAAAAGCACUGGAAAUUAUGGAGGCUUUGAUAGUAGAGUGAAUUAACAAGAAAAUGUAACUGUUAUUACAAAGGUUUAAAUAAUGACACCAAUUUAAGGCAUUUACUAAAAGGACCAAAUGGAAGAGGAAAGAACUUUUUAUGUUAUGAACUGGAAUCCACUGCUUGGCAGGGAAGUAAACUCAUUAACUUUCAAAAGGAAAUCUGAGAUAAACUUGAAACGAAAAAAAAUGGGAAGGAAGAAAAAUGAGAAGGAGAGCAGAAUUAUUCAGUUAGCCCUUUAUGUAAUAAAAAUUUAAUUUUAAAGAUUUAUUUUAAAAUUGGGUAAAAAUUGGAAUGGACAGUGGCAUACAAGGUGAGAAAUCGUUUAGAUCUUGUUGAUGUCUUCUACAUUUGUACUAUUAAUGUCGCUAGUGUAAAAUUAAUGUACCAGUUAUAAAUAUACAGUAAUAUUUUAACCAUUUGUUAAGUAGUUUUUGAAGUGAAGAACCACAGGAAAACUAUCCCUGUUGGUUAUUGGACACCAUAAUAUUUUAGAAUAGAUGAUUUAAAGCUAUUCUAAAAUCCAUUAAGAACUAAACCAGCCCCAUUUUAGAUUUCAUAGUCAUUAAAUUAUGCUUACUAUUAAUUAUGUUUUUGUAGCAGAAGAAGUUUCAACAUCUUGGAAGGAUUAUUUUUCCAUUACAUAAUUCCACUAAUUGGUUCUUUGAAAAGUAUACCAGUUCUCAUCUUUCCCUCAGUCUUCUACAAAUGCAAAGAUAAUUCAGUUUCCGUUACUUAGUCUGUUAGGUGCCAGCUCUUUAAACAAAUGUAAAAAGAGCCUUUAUGCUUAUUUUUGUUAUGUUUAGUUUACUCCAUUAUUUAUAGGAAGGGGAAAUGUUAACAGGUUGAGUUCAGAUAACAUUUGUGAACCAUUUGUAUAAGCAGUAUACAAGACUGAAACUUAAUAAAAAGGUCUGAAUCAGCUCUGCAAAGCAAAGUGUUAUCCUAUGUACUCAACAGGAGUUUGUCAUUGCUGAUUUUUGUAUUUUCACAAAUAUAACCCAUAAAUGACACCUCUGUAUUAUUAAAAUGAUGAAGAGCUAAAGGCUAAUAUUCAUGUAGAAUGGCACAAGCGUAUGGAUAAUCUUCUACAAAUUCUGUGCAUUUAUUCAGGUGCACACCAAUAUAGACUAAGUAACAAUGUGCAGAUAUGCAUGAAAGAAUCUUGUGUGAUCCCUCAGAAAUGGAAUGGUGUUUUAUGCUUACCAGCAUAUAUUAGCCAGCUAUUCUCCAGAUAGUCUGUUCCCAAUUAUAUGAUGUCUACACAAACAGAUGCAAGAGUUAAAUAAGGAUAUUAAUAUUUUGCCAACCUCCACUCUGUUGUUUUUAAAAAUGAUAAAAAGCCCUUACUAAGUAUUUCUUAAGAACAAUGUAUAGCAAAUGACUCAAAGGGCAUUCCAAAAUGGUACAAAAAUGGAUCUACUUAUUGAAUUUCAUGUUGCUUUAUAAUUUGAAAUAGAUAUGUACAAUAUGCAGUAUUUGCCUAAAAAAAUCAAUAAAUAUGAUUUUUUUAAGAAAAUGACUGUCCUUUAUUUAUCUAUUGUGCAUUUUAUUAUCACCAUUCUAAUUGUUACUGUUUUAAAUGUUGAGCAGAGCAACAAAUUUAAUCCUGUAUUGUUCAGUUAGGAUGCUCAUUUGAAAUGGUUAAUGAAGUUCUGUGCAAAAAAUAUUAAACAGCCUCAUUAUUUAUUAUAGUGUGUAUAGAAUUUUAAUGAAAUUCUAUAAUGUUAAAUCACUACAAUGUUAAAUACAAGAAAAUAGUUUUGGAGUGGUUGAUUAAUA